Zingiber officinale is the source of this 630-nucleotide long non-coding RNA. RefSeq lists it as uncharacterized. The record is from RefSeq and is a predicted model, not a curated record. Lineage: Eukaryota; Viridiplantae; Streptophyta; Magnoliopsida; Zingiberales; Zingiberaceae. The transcript is spliced from 3 exons.
UUUCUUCGUAACCUAACUUCUCCGUCACAUUCCUGACUCCCGAGGUCGCGCGACGCUCGCUGCGGUGAGGGGUCGGCGGCUACCUUGCGCGGCGGCAAGGCCAUUGGCGGCCGCCUCGCGCUACGACGUGGUCGUUGGCAGCCCCCUCGCACUGUGGCGAGGAACUCCCAUUGCCCCUCGCGCGGUGGUGAGGACGCCCACGGCCGCCUCACGCAGCGGCCCCGAGGUUGCCUCUCUCGAUCACGAGGAUACCUCACACGGGGGCAAUGAUUUACAUCCACUCGCCAUCGCGAUGGAUGUGAGAGACCAGAUGCCGCCAACAGAAAUGGCAUUUGAACGAAGCGGAAUAAAGAGACUAAGGAAUAGCAGAAGAUUCGCCAAGGGAGAAACAAGUCUGCGAGUUAGGAAUGGAGCAAAGGUUGUUGCAAUCACUAUCGGAACAUAUUUGUUACAGCUUCCUAGUACACUUGUCUUAGAACUAGAUAAUUGUUAUUUUGUUCCCGCAUGAAUAAUGAACAUUAUUUAUAUUUCUUGCUUAAAUAGAAAAUGUUUCCAUUUGACUUUUAGUAACAAUUGUUGUUAUAUAUCACUGAAUAGUAUUCUUCAUAGCACUGGAACUUUAUGCAAUGA